Molecule: long non-coding RNA, 1321 nt
Organism: Mesocricetus auratus (golden hamster)
Lineage: Eukaryota; Metazoa; Chordata; Mammalia; Rodentia; Cricetidae
Exons: 4
Source: RefSeq, a predicted model, not a curated record
GGCACAGCAGGCAGGCAGGCAGGCAGAGAAUAAAUACAAGGAGAAAUGAGGAGAGGAGCAACAAGAGAACAAGGGGAGGAAAGAGACAGGAACCAGCCAUCCAGUCACCCAACCAGCCACAGCAUCAGAGUGAACAUCUCCCUGAACUUGGAACUCACAGAUGCGGUUGAACUAGCUGACCACCAAGCUACAGGGAUUCGCUUCUGUGCUGUGCUGGGGAUGCAGACGCAGAUCUCCACGCUUGUACUGUAGAGCACUAGGUUUCUCUGUGUAGCUCUGGCUGCCCUGGAACUUACUCUGUAGACCAGGCUGGCUGCAAAUUCAGAGUCUUGAAUGCUGGGACUAAAGGCAUGUGCCACCACUGCCCGUGGGAUUAUCUUCAUUAAGUUAACUGAUAGGUGAAGACUCAGCCCAUUGUGAACUAUACCAUCCCCUUGGCAGAGUGUCCUGAACGAGCUAAGAGGGGAGAGGUAGAGCUGGAAGUGAUGUGAUUGGCUGUUUGAAACCCUGCCUCGACUUCUCCCCAUGACGCCAGAAUAACCUGGAAUCACAAACUGAAAUUAACCCCUCUCACCCCUAAAUCGCUUUAAGGUCAAGAUACUUUAUUACAGCAGGAGAACCGAAAUUAGAAAAGACAGCCAUCCCAGCAGUCUGUAUUUGUGGAAGACCUUGUCCAUCCCAAGGAUCCAACACUCAUUACCACCACACUUGCCUCCCACCACAACUCAGCCAGGCAGAGGAGACAUUGCCAUUCCUAUUUCCAGGUGAUUCUAAACCCAGUCAAACAGACAAUCAAGACCAAGCCGCAUAUAUGAACAUGGAGCUUCCCCCAAAAUGUGCAAGGGCAACACUGACCUGUGAAAUCGGCUGUGCAGCUGUUGGUGAGAUGGAAACAUUCCAUCCUGCAGGAAGCUCCUUUAGCAGGAAGGUAAACAACUCAAACAGCUUCAGGAAGUCCCUGAAGCAGAAGAGAUUCACCAGACCUCCUCCCUGCCAGAGUCAGCAAUAAACACUGAGUGUCCGGGAGAGUCUCCCUCAGUUGCAUGGAAGACCCUUAACCAGUUGCCUGGAAAGAGCAGAAACCAGCCCAGCUGCCUGGAAGAGGAUUAGACCAACUGAGGCACCUGGAAAAGAACACUCUCUAACCUGCUGAACUCCCUGCAGGCUGAACAGUGUAUUCCAGGUUCCCAACUUUAUGAGCUAUCAGCCUUGCUGGGGUGGGCUUUGGUGAUGCAGCUGUCUUUAAGUCAUUUCUGCUGCUGUAAGUAAUCCCUCACCCAUUUUUAUGGAGGUAACCCCAAUAAAAUUCAGGGCUCACCAA